This 1257-nucleotide long non-coding RNA is filed under the name Sarcophilus harrisii (Tasmanian devil). RNAcentral's name for it is "lncRNA (ENSSHAG00000024466.1)". Lineage: Eukaryota; Metazoa; Chordata; Mammalia; Dasyuromorphia; Dasyuridae. The record is from RNAcentral.
GGAUGGUAGCUGUCUUGUAAACGGGCUGCAAAGAGUGAUGAGGUACGGGAGUGCUCUGGGAAAAAGUUUCCUACUGGAAGUGAUUCAGACCUGGUUAGCAAUAGCCAAAUUUCAGAAGUGCCCAGUGAAGAACCCUGCUGUGCAGAUUAGCGACUGUCCUGAGGCUAGAGGCUGAGCAGUGAAAGUGUCUCUAUCCCUGCCUCAAGCCCACUCACUAUGGGGCUGUGGAUAUUAGCAGCUGACCAGCAAAUAGCCUCACAGGGACCAGAAGUGUCUCUGCCUAGGGAAGCACAGUCGUGCUGUGGAAGUUCUAUUGCCCCAGGACGAGCCCCACACUGUGCAGAUUAGAGGCUGUCUUGGCCUGUGUGCCCCCCUGCCAUGCAGAUUUGUAACUGCCCUGAGGAAAAACCCCAUACUGCAGAAUGGGGCUGCACAGCUAUGCUGUGAUCUGUGCUGAGUCCCUUCUGGUUUUGAGUAGGUAUAGCCAGAUCCUGUUAGGUUCUGGCGUUUUUUAGAGUACCCUCUGUCUUUGGCUUUAAUUUCUCCGCUGGUCUGCUGUGUUGCAACGAAGACAGAGCAAUCAGCCUAUGCCAGAGAUGUCUCUAAUUUUUCUAACCACAGAGGCCACCCCCUCUCCCGGUGCACUCCUUUUGCUAGCCUCUCCUAUUUCCCUGUUUGUGCUGAUCUGCUCUGGCCCCUCAGGACAAAACCUUUUCUGAGGAACUUCCAGAUUAUCUUCGGCUGGUAAGUUGUACUUCUAAUCUUCGUGAAUUUUACCAGUGAAGCGCUAUUUUUGAGGCUGAAUUUAAUAAUUGGUCAUGAGGGUAUGAGAGGAGCUUAGAAAGUCGUGUGUGCCUUCUCCGCCAUCUUAGCUCCACCUGUGUGUUUGUUUUUAAACAGUGUGACCAGAAAUAGGAUGCAGACUUCUAAAAGUGUGGACAUCUCUGUAGAGGGCGAGAAGCUGGACUUCAACAGUGGUGCCAAAACAGGAUGGGAACUUCAUAAGUGGAUAGAGCUUCCAUGGAAAGGUGCCUUCUUAGAAGCAGGCAUAUUCAGGUAAGAGGGGAAUUAGAUUAAAAGUGAGGAUAAAGUGGGGGGAAAGGGUGAUCACCAAUAGGCACUUUAUCACUAUAAAUAAUUCAGCAUUAGAAAUAGUUUAUCACCAGGCUGACAGGGGGUGAGGGUGGGGUGGGAGGGGUGAGGAUAUCAAAUAUCAGAUAAAUAUAGAAUAUAAGAUAUCAGAUAUCAGAAAAGAAU